AGCGGUAAGGCCCUUCGGGGUACACGAGCGGCGAACGGGUGAGUAACACGUGGGUGAUCUACCCUGUACUUCGGGAUAAGCCUGGGAAACUGGGUCUAAUACCGGAUAUGACCUUCCGAUGCAUGUCGGUGGGUGGAAAGAUUUAUCGGUACAGGAUGGGCCCGCGGCCUAUCAGCUUGUUGGUGGGGUAAUGGCCUACCAAGGCGACGACGGGUAGCCGGCCUGAGAGGGCGACCGGCCACACUGGGACUGAGACACGGCCCAGACUCCUACGGGAGGCAGCAGUGGGGAAUAUUGCACAAUGGGCGAAAGCCUGAUGCAGCGACGCCGCGUGAGGGAUGACGGCCUUCGGGUUGUAAACCUCUUUCGACAGGGACGAAGCGCAAGUGACGGUACCUGUAGAAGAAGCACCGGCCAACUACGUGCCAGCAGCCGCGGUAAUACGUAGGGUGCGAGCGUUGUCCGGAAUUACUGGGCGUAAAGAGCUUGUAGGCGGUUUGUCGCGUCGUCCGUGAAAACUUGGGGCUCAACCCCAAGCUUGCGGGCGAUACGGGCAGACUUGAGUACUGCAGGGGAGACUGGAAUUCCUGGUGUAGCGGUGAAAUGCGCAGAUAUCAGGAGGAACACCGGUGGCGAAGGCGGGUCUCUGGGCAGUAACUGACGCUGAGAAGCGAAAGCGUGGGUAGCGAACAGGAUUAGAUACCCUGGUAGUCCACGCCGUAAACGGUGGGCGCUAGGUGUGGGUUUCCUUCCACGGGAUCCGUGCCGUA
Molecule: ribosomal RNA, 770 nt
Filed under: Nocardia sp. 8-130
Lineage: Bacteria; Bacillati; Actinomycetota; Actinomycetes; Mycobacteriales; Nocardiaceae
Description: bacterial SSU rRNA
Rfam family: Bacterial small subunit ribosomal RNA
Source: RNAcentral